AUAUGCUGACCUGGGGAUCUCAUUAAAAUGUGUGUUCUGAUUCAGUAGUUCUGGAGUAGGGACUAAAAAUGUGCAUUUCUUACAAGCUCCCAGGUAAUGCUGGG
This 104-nucleotide microRNA precursor is filed under the name Marmota monax (woodchuck). The record is from RNAcentral. Lineage: Eukaryota; Metazoa; Chordata; Mammalia; Rodentia; Sciuridae.